GGGGGAAGUCUUAACAAGGUUUCCGUAGGUGAACCUGCGGAAGGAUCAUUG
This 51-nucleotide ribosomal RNA is filed under the name Gongora sp. SRR-2011. Its description in RNAcentral is "partial 18S ribosomal RNA". It matches the Rfam family "Eukaryotic small subunit ribosomal RNA", at positions 1781 to 1831 of the family's 1831-position model. The record is from RNAcentral. Lineage: Eukaryota; Viridiplantae; Streptophyta; Magnoliopsida; Asparagales; Orchidaceae.